UCCAGACUCCUACGGGAGGCAGCAGUGGGGAAUAUUGCGCAAUGGGCGAAAGCCUGACGCAGCGACGCCGCGUGAGGGAUGAAGGUCUUCGGAUCGUAAACCUCUGUCAGCAGGGAAGAACGGUCACUGUGCUAAUCAGCAGUGAAUUGACGGUACCUGCAAAGGAAGCACCGGCUAACUCCGUGCCAGCAGCCGCGGUAAUACGGAGGGUGCGAGCGUUAAUCGGAAUUACUGGGCGUAAAGGGCGUGCAGCCGGGCUGACAAGUCAGAUGUGAAAUCCCGCGGCUCAACCGCGGAACUGCAUUUGAAACUGUCAGUCUUGAGUACCGGAGAGGUCAUCGGAAUUCCUUGUGUAGCGGUGAAAUGCGUAGAUAUAAGGAAGAACACCAGUGGCGAAGGCGGAUGACUGGACGGCAACUGACGGUGAGGCGCGAAAGCGUGGGGAGCAAACAGGAUUAGAUACCCGCGUA
Molecule: ribosomal RNA, 470 nt
Filed under: uncultured bacterium
Lineage: Bacteria
Description: bacterial SSU rRNA
Rfam family: Bacterial small subunit ribosomal RNA
Source: RNAcentral